UACGUAGGGUGCAAGCGUUAAUCGGAAUUACUGGGCGUAAAGCGUGCGCAGGCGGUUAUGUAAGACAGUUGUGAAAUCCCCGGGCUCAACCUGGGAAUUGCAUCUGUGACUGCAUAGCUAGAGUACGGGUAGAGGGGGAUGGAAUUCCGCGUGUAGCAGUGAAAUGCGUAGAUAUGCGGAGGAACACCGAUGGCGAAGGCAAUCCCCUGGACCUGUACUGACGCUCAUGCACGAAAGCGUGGGGAGCAAACGAGG
This 255-nucleotide ribosomal RNA is filed under the name uncultured bacterium. RNAcentral describes it as "partial 16S ribosomal RNA". It matches the Rfam family "Bacterial small subunit ribosomal RNA", at positions 524 to 777 of the family's 1533-position model. The record is from RNAcentral.